RNAcentral lists this ribosomal RNA (600 nucleotides) under Escherichia coli. RNAcentral's name for it is "bacterial SSU rRNA". It matches the Rfam family "Bacterial small subunit ribosomal RNA", at positions 40 to 633 of the family's 1533-position model. The record is from RNAcentral. Lineage: Bacteria; Pseudomonadati; Pseudomonadota; Gammaproteobacteria; Enterobacterales; Enterobacteriaceae.
GGGCGGGGCUACCUGCAGUCGAACGGUAACAGGAAGAAGCUUGCUGCUUUGCUGACGAGUGGCGGACGGGUGAGUAAUGUCUGGGAAACUGCCUGAUGGAGGGGGAUAACUACUGGAAACGGUAGCUAAUACCGCAUAACGUCGCAAGACCAAAGAGGGGGACCUUCGGGCCUCUUGCCAUCGGAUGUGCCCAGAUGGGAUUAGCUAGUAGGUGGGGUAACGGCUCACCUAGGCGACGAUCCCUAGCUGGUCUGAGAGGAUGACCAGCCACACUGGAACUGAGACACGGUCCAGACUCCUACGGGAGGCAGCAGUGGGGAAUAUUGCACAAUGGGCGCAAGCCUGAUGCAGCCAUGCCGCGUGUAUGAAGAAGGCCUUCGGGUUGUAAAGUACUUUCAGCGGGGAGGAAGGGAGUAAAGUUAAUACCUUUGCUCAUUGACGUUACCCGCAGAAGAAGCACCGGCUAACUCCGUGCCAGCAGCCGCGGUAAUACGGAGGGUGCAAGCGUUAAUCGGAAUUACUGGGCGUAAAGCGCACGCAGGCGGUUUGUUAAGUCAGAUGUGAAAUCCCCGGGCUCAACCUGGGAACUGCAUCUGAUAC